This 562-nucleotide ribosomal RNA is filed under the name Hypsolebias alternatus. Its description in RNAcentral is "partial 16S ribosomal RNA". It matches the Rfam family "Bacterial large subunit ribosomal RNA", at positions 1844 to 2618 of the family's 2925-position model. Lineage: Eukaryota; Metazoa; Chordata; Actinopteri; Cyprinodontiformes; Rivulidae. The record is from RNAcentral.
CAUAAGAGGUCCUGCCUGCCCAGUGAUAAAAAUUUUAACGGCCGCGGUAUUUUGACCGUGCAAAGGUAGCGCAAUCAAUCGUCUUUUAAAUGAAGACCCGUAUGAAUGGUAAUACGAAAACUCAACUGUCUCAUUCUUUUAACCAAUAAAAUUGAUCUCCCCGUGCGGAAGCGGGGGUAAAAACAUAAGACAAAAAGACCCUGUGGAGCUUCAGAUAAAUCAGCUUAAAGUUUAUUACUUAAUUUAUAAUAAACCUUAAAUUCUGCCUUCAUCUUAGGUUGGGGCGAUCACGGAGAAAAUAUAUCCUCCACGAAGAAAAAAUAUACAUUUUUACAACUAAGAGCUACCACUCUAAAUACUAAAAUAUUUAACUUUAUUGAACCGGCUUGCCGAUUAACGGACCCAGUUACCCCAGGGAUAACAGCGCAAUCCCCUUAAAGAGCACGUAUUACUAAGGGGGCUUACGACCUCGAUGUUGGAUCAGGGCAUCCUAGUGGCGCAUCUGCUAUUAAUGGUUCGUUUGUUCAACGAUUAAAGCCCUACGUGAUCUGAGUUCAGACCG